ACGGAAGGCAGCAGUGGGGAAUAUUGCACAAUGGGCGAAAGCCUGAUGCAGCGACGCCGCGUGAGUGAAGAAGUAUCUCGGUAUGUAAAGCUCUAUCAGCAGGGAAGAAAAUGACGGUACCUGACUAAGAAGCCCCGGCUAACUACGUGCCAGCAGCCGCGGUAAUACGUAGGGGGCAAGCGUUAUCCGGAUUUACUGGGUGUAAAGGGAGCGUAGACGGUUUGGCAAGUCUGAAGUGAAAUGCGGGGGCUCAACUCCUGAACUGCUUUGGAAACUGUCGAACUAGAGUGUAGGAGAGGUAAGUGGAAUUCCUAGUGUAGCGGUGAAAUGCGUAGAUAUUAGGAGGAACACCAGUGGCGAAGGCGGCUUACUGGACUGUAACUGACGUUGAGGCUCGAAAGCGUGGGGAGCAAACAGGAUUAGAUACCCUGGUA
This 434-nucleotide ribosomal RNA is filed under the name uncultured Lachnospiraceae bacterium. Its description in RNAcentral is "bacterial SSU rRNA". It matches the Rfam family "Bacterial small subunit ribosomal RNA", at positions 341 to 792 of the family's 1533-position model. Lineage: Bacteria; Bacillati; Bacillota; Clostridia; Lachnospirales; Lachnospiraceae. The record is from RNAcentral.